CUUGAGGGGGGCUGGCCCUAGUACGAGAGGACCGGGCUGGGCGGACCUCUGGUGUGCCGGUUGUCCCGCCAGGGGCAAAAAGCCGGGUAGCCAUGUCCGCACGGGAUAAGCGCUGAAAGCAUCUAAGCGCGAAGCCCUCCCCAAGAUGAGGCCUCCCACCCCCUCAAGGGGGUAAGGCCACGGGAAGACCACCCGUUCGAUAGGCGGCAGGUGUAAGCCGGGCAACCGGCGUAGCUGAGCCGUACUAAUGGCCGAGGGCUUGACCACUACACCACC
RNAcentral lists this ribosomal RNA (276 nucleotides) under Chloroflexota bacterium. Its description in RNAcentral is "Chloroflexi bacterium (sediment metagenome) partial 23S ribosomal RNA". It matches the Rfam family "Bacterial large subunit ribosomal RNA", at positions 2661 to 2925 of the family's 2925-position model. The record is from RNAcentral. Lineage: Bacteria; Bacillati; Chloroflexota.